UGGGAUGCCGAAGUCGGGUCCCGCAUUUCCUUGCUGAUUACUCAGGAGAAUUUUCAUGAG
This 60-nucleotide small RNA is filed under the name uncultured Pseudomonas sp. RNAcentral's name for it is "Repression of heat shock gene expression (ROSE) element". It matches the Rfam family "Repression of heat shock gene expression (ROSE) element". Lineage: Bacteria; Pseudomonadati; Pseudomonadota; Gammaproteobacteria; Pseudomonadales; Pseudomonadaceae. The record is from RNAcentral.